This 440-nucleotide ribosomal RNA is filed under the name uncultured bacterium. Its description in RNAcentral is "partial 16S ribosomal RNA". It matches the Rfam family "Bacterial small subunit ribosomal RNA", at positions 338 to 795 of the family's 1533-position model. The record is from RNAcentral.
CCUACGGGAGGCAGCAGUAGGGAAUAUUGCUCAAUGGACGAGACUCUGAAGCAGCAACGCCGCGUGAAGGAUGAAGGUUUUAGGGUUGUAAACUCCUUUUGUUAGGGAAGAUUAUUACAGUAUCUAACUAGUAUUCACCGUCUAACUCCGUGCCAGCAGCCCCGGUAAUACGGAGGGUGCAAGGGUUACUCGGAUUCACUGGGCGUAAAGAGCGCGUAGGCGGGGUAAUAAGUCAGAUGUGAAAGCCUGUAGCUUAACCACAGAAUUGCAGUUGAAACUGUUAGUCUGGAGUGCGGGAGAGGUAGGUGGAAUUCUUGGUGUAGGGGUAAAAUGCGUAGAUAUCAAGAGGAAUACUCAUUGCGAAGGCGACUUGCUGGAAUAUAACUGACGCUGAUGCACGAAAGUGUGGGGAGCAAACAGGAUUAGAUACCCUUGUAGUC